Long non-coding RNA from Haplochromis burtoni (Burton's mouthbrooder), 1554 nucleotides. RefSeq lists it as uncharacterized. Lineage: Eukaryota; Metazoa; Chordata; Actinopteri; Cichliformes; Cichlidae. The transcript is spliced from 4 exons. The record is from RefSeq and is a predicted model, not a curated record.
GGCCUCUACAAGUGUGACAUCAGCGGUCAUGGAGAGUCUCCAUCCAGCUGGAUCACUGUCACAGAUAAAAUUUAGCUUUCUUUCAAAAAUAUCAAACCCAAAGUGAUUCAAACUGGCCACAAAGAUUUGCGUUUCUCUUCACUUACAGGUUCGUCCAACUCUGCGCUUCCAUCAGCCUCCAGUACCUCCAUCCACUUCUCCUCGUUUUCCUCUCCUCCUCCUCAACGAUCCUCUCCUCCUCUCUCUGUGAUUGUGUCUAUUCCCUCCAUAUUUGGGCUGCUGCUGGUUGUACCGGUUGUACUGGUGAGACGCUGUGUUCGGAGGAAAGCUGAAGAUAGAGAUCGUCCAGCAGCUGCCAUCUACUCAUCAGUGACAAGAACAGUAGCAGACGACCGAUACGGGUCAAAGAGGACGAAAGAGACUGAUCCACCUGCAGUUUAUUCAUCAACAGCUGACGUCAGUUAUGGAGAAAUCACCAUCAGGACAAACAGCAGGCACAGAGAUCUUCCACCAGAGCCAGCGGUCAUCUACUCCUCACCGAAGCCGAGCCCCACACCUUCACCACAAUUUAACUAGUGUGACCAGUGAAGUCUAGCUGGCUGCCAAACACAUCCCUGCUCCCCUCUCUAUAUUAUUUAUUUAAUCAUAUUCUCUGUGUGUUUAGUCAUACAGCUGCACUGAACCAAUGAUGAAGUGGAAAUAAAACAUUUUUUAUAUUAAGCGGUUCCCCCCAUGCUGAUGCAACAUCAGAGAUUCAAAAAGUCUCUUACCUGAAGCAGAAUGAACAAAGUUCAGUCUGAAAGUCUGCAGAGCUCAUUUCUGUAAACAGCUGCAGCACAUUAGCAUACACCACUCUUUUAUUUUAUUCUUUAGCUGAUCUGAACCUCACCAAGAAUCAUUAAGGAGUGUAGGAAUGUCAUUUCUACUUUAACAGACUGAGCAUCCUCUCUGCUGAAAUGCAAACAGGAGAGGUAGCAGGUAUCUUGUCCCCAAAGCAUAAUUUCAAACUGGUGCUAAUGAAAUAUGCAAUGUGACAUAACUGCAUCAAAACUACCGCUGGACUUUAUCAUUAGAGGCACUGUCGCAAAGCAACAAUCACACAAUGUUUUGCUACACGUGCACCAGAGUUCAUGACAUGCUUCGAUUUUUGGGCCACUUUUAAAUAAACUUACGACAUGGUGCAGUGUGACAGACAUCAGUUCCCUCAGCUGAUAUCUUUCUAACAGAAGCAGUGACAUGCACAGACUGAUCCUGAUGAAAAACUUGUAGAUUUAGUUAUUAUUUUCAAGUUGGGCACCUAGUUGUUUUUCUUUUCUCUUUAUUCAUGCUCAUAAUAAGUCUUCAGUCUGUGCUGUAAAUAUGUUGCACUGCUGUGAAGAAACACAUUGUCAGACUGGGCUCCCGACUGUUUAACUGAAAUUAAACCUCCACCUCUCAGCUGCUACAUGUCUCUUCUAAUGGAAAAUCUGCUGAGCGUCAUGUUAACAAAUGAUAGCCGUACAGUAACUGUUAUGCUUAUUGUAGCUGUUAGCUAAAAAAAGCUAAUUUAGCGUA